RNAcentral lists this long non-coding RNA (475 nucleotides) under Crocodylus porosus (Australian saltwater crocodile). Its description in RNAcentral is "lncRNA (ENSCPRG00005006936.1)". Lineage: Eukaryota; Metazoa; Chordata; Crocodylia; Crocodylidae. The record is from RNAcentral.
UCGGCGGGUCUGGGAGGGGGAGGCGAAGAGCGGGGCGAUUUCAACCCCGCCCUGACCCGGAAGCGGACCCCGCCGCACCACCGAGGCGAGCCGGGCAGAGCGUCGCCACGCGGGCCACCAUAGAGUCCGCAAGGAACAAGGAGGGGUGGAUAUUGGAUGCAAGCACGGAACCGGAUCUGCUGGAAAAGUGGUAGACUCUCCAUCCCUGGAAGCUUUCAAAAGCCGGUCAGGAGAAGAGGGGAGAACUGCUCAAGGAAAGCAGCCAGCUGACAUGGGAGAUGGACCAUGAUGACACCAAGACCUUAACUCUUCUCCCUCAGUGAUGAUGACCCUCAUGCCAAGAGACAUGAGGUCACGGCCUCUAUGUAUAAUCCAAACUUGGGGCAGUGCUAUCACGGAUUAAUGGAGGCCUGUGUUACAUACUUUAUUUUCCAACUGUUUAAGUUGGUCUAAUAAAAGAUAUCAGAUUCACCCA